Gymnopus androsaceus JB14 is the source of this 116-nucleotide non-coding RNA. Lineage: Eukaryota; Fungi; Basidiomycota; Agaricomycetes; Agaricales; Omphalotaceae. The record is from the annotation of a GenBank genome assembly.
GUCACUUUGCCGGAGUGGUUAACGGGAUCGCCUGCUAAAAACUUACGUAAUCAUUGCGUACGUAAGCAUCCAGCGGUUGGGCUUUGCCCGCGUGUGUUCGAAUCGCACAGGUGACG